This 906-nucleotide ribosomal RNA is filed under the name Paraphoma radicina. RNAcentral describes it as "LSU rRNA". It matches the Rfam family "Eukaryotic large subunit ribosomal RNA", at positions 38 to 961 of the family's 3401-position model. The record is from RNAcentral. Lineage: Eukaryota; Fungi; Ascomycota; Dothideomycetes; Pleosporales; Phaeosphaeriaceae.
GCAUAUCAAUAAGCGGAAGGAAAAGAAACCAACAGGGAUUGCCCUAGUAACGGCGAGUGAAGCGGCAACAGCUCAAAUUUGAAAUCUGGCUCUUUCAGAGUCCGAGUUGUAAUUUGCAGAGGGCGCUUUGGUGUCGGCAGCGGUCCAAGUUCCUUGGAACAGGACGUCACAGAGGGUGAGAAUCCCGUACGUGGUCGCUAGCCUUCGCCGUGUAAAGCCCCUUCGACGAGUCGAGUUGUUUGGGAAUGCAGCUCUAAAUGGGAGGUAAAUUUCUUCUAAAGCUAAAUACUGGCCAGAGACCGAUAGCGCACAAGUAGAGUGAUCGAAAGAUGAAAAGCACUUUGGAAAGAGAGUCAAAUAGCACGUGAAAUUGUUGAAAGGGAAGCGCUUGCAGCCAGACUUGCCUGUAGUUGCUUAUCCGGACUUUUGUCCGGUGCACUCUUCUGCGGGCAGGCCAGCAUCAGUUUGGGCGGUUGGAUAAAGGUCUCUGUCAUGUACCUCUCUUCGGGGAGAACUUAUAGGGGAGACGACAUGCAACCAGCCUGGACUGAGGUCCGCGCAUCUGCUAGGAUGCUGGCGUAAUGGCUGUAAGCGGCCCGUCUUGAAACACGGACCAAGGAGUCUAACAUCUAUGCGAGUGUUUGGGUGUCAAGCCCAGACGCGUAAUGAAAGUGAACGGAGGUGGGAACCCUUUGGGUGCACCAUCGACCGAUCCUGAUGUCUUCGGAUGGAUUUGAGUAAGAGCAUGGCUGUUGGGACCCGAAAGAUGGUGAACUAUGCUUGAAUAGGGUGAAGCCAGAGGAAACUCUGGUGGAGGCUCGCAGCGGUUUCUGACGUGCAAAUCGAUCGUCAAAUUUGGGCAUAGGGGCGAAAGACUAAUCGAACUAUCUAGUAGCUGGUUCUGCG